RNAcentral lists this transfer RNA (74 nucleotides) under Coeloseira compressa. Its description in RNAcentral is "tRNA-Pro". It matches the Rfam family "tRNA". Rfam says of the family: Transfer RNA (tRNA) molecules are approximately 80 nucleotides in length. Their secondary structure includes four short double-helical elements and three loops (D, anti-codon, and T loops). The record is from RNAcentral. Lineage: Eukaryota; Rhodophyta; Florideophyceae; Rhodymeniales; Champiaceae.
CGGGAUAUAGCGCAGUUUGGUAGCGCGCCUGCCUUGGGAGCAGGAUGUCGUAGGUUCAAGUCCUGCUAUCCCGA